AGAAGCUUGACAUGGGAUUUUGUUCUCUAUUUAACUGUGGUCUAAAAUGGGGAAGUUACUUUAAAAACAUAAUUUUCUUUCAUGCAAAGUAUGUUUUGUAUUCAACCCAUCCUAAACAGUGCAAUAACAACUGAGGAAUAAACUGAAAAGAAGCUCACAAAGACCAGAUUUUUACAACACAAGGAACUUGGACCAGGAGCCCCUUCUCCAUUCUUCGAGUCCUUUAUCAGAAGGAAAAAAAAUACCAAAGAUCAGCCCAGCAUCCACCUCGUGUAUUCACGUGGGGGCUUUGGCAAGGUAUUUGAGUCUCUUCCGCUGGGUGUUUGUCUGUUUUCAUUAAAGGCUGGGCUGCCAACAUUCCUGCUAUGCCUCACAGACCCCAAACUGUGCUGAGGAUGCAACAAGUUUUGGUGGUACCUGCAGCUCAACCUACACUAUUCCAGUUACAGUCCAA
RNAcentral lists this long non-coding RNA (454 nucleotides) under Gallus gallus (chicken). The record is from RNAcentral. Lineage: Eukaryota; Metazoa; Chordata; Aves; Galliformes; Phasianidae.